AAAUUCAAAAAAAUUCAGGUGUAAUUAAAAUGAUAACCUAUUUUCGUAUUAUUUGUUAGCGAUGAAAGAAAUUCUUGUAUCAUAGUUAAACGAACUAUUUGGCGAAAAGAAAUGGAUGUUCAACAAAUAAUACUGAAGCACGCAUAAUUUUGAAAAAGCAACUGUGAUGCUCAUGAAUGAAAGCCAGUUCGGCAACGUAUGGAAAAAAAGAAGAAUAUUGAAAGAAUAGGUUACUGAAACAGUAAUCAAUAAAAGCUUCCAUAAGCAUCAUUUAUCGUAUUGUCAAAAAGAUGAAAAUAAACGAAUUAACUAUCUCGACUAGCUUUCAAUUUGUUCAAUUCAAACAACCGUCUCUGUACCUUUCCAUUAUUUUUGCCAGCGUCCCGAAAUCUGAUAGUUGAGUUCUUACUACGAAGGUUCGGAAUCAAUUCUUUUUGUAAUAUUAUUGCAGUAGUUAUAAAUGUAUUUAUUUAAUGACUAUGUAAGUUUAUUUAUCUUUGUGUUUAGCUGUCAGGAUAAUAUAAUACCGUAUUAUGUUCCCUUGCACUAUAU
Molecule: long non-coding RNA, 552 nt
Filed under: Schizosaccharomyces pombe (fission yeast)
Lineage: Eukaryota; Fungi; Ascomycota; Schizosaccharomycetes; Schizosaccharomycetales; Schizosaccharomycetaceae
Source: RNAcentral